GGGCCGCUAGGCGUGCAGGCGAACAGCUCAAGCCGACAGCGCUCCGGCACGCGCAGCGGUGACUGUGGCUCCGAUGGCCGUAGCACGCCUGCACGAACACGUGGUUUCGACUAAGAACAGCCGUGUACAAAUUAGACAGUUAUGCAGACCAGGCUGGAGUGUUUGACCUGACCACGACUUUCCGUAUCAGGUUGCAAUUGCCUUCAACGAGCCAGAGGAGUUGCCAGGAUGCCUGCGCAGCAGAGCUGGUGCGCUGUUAGAUUUUCCCGCGAUCCUUGACACCCUGGAAUCCAUCGUGUUUGUGAUGCACUUUACUUCCACCGCACGAUAUAAGUUAUAUUGGCAGAUACCCAGAAGCUGAAGACUUGUUCAUAGUGUGAGUACUGCCUAUAAAUACACGAACCUUGUGGGAGUGCCCAACUUCCGCCACUUCUAAAAACAGAUUACAGUCACCAUAACCAUCCAAUAAGCACCCCGGUUGCUGGAAGGAUGGUACCACUCGCACACUAGCGCUCGAAGCCUGGUGGCCACGUCUGGAGCAAUGCACCAAGUAUGUACGGUACCAGAAGCCUUGAGCCUACCAAAAAUGCCCACAAUAGGGCUAGAAUUAGGCCCCGACAAGAAAGCGACAGUCUUAAUCUUAAUCUCGCAGCACUGAAAUUCCUCUGCACUGCUUCUGUUCUUGCACGGAACAACUCUACGUUUGCCUAGUAGGUGGUAAACAGGCAUGCUUGUCAAUAUUUAUGAUAAUAAGAAGACUUUAUUUCCAUCCAGACAGUGAUGGGAGAAGAUGUUUCUCUUCGACUUUACGUUGAAUCCUCUCAGCAAAGGAUUUAAACAUAUGCUGUUGUAUUUGUUGUAUCGGUGAUUUCAAUGAAUCUAUGCAGUGUUCGCUUCACUUUGCUGAACGCUUGUAGCCACAGCCUUACGCGUGUGUGAGCCAUUGCAUUUUUUUGCUUGCUUAGUGGGGCUUGAGCCAUUGAGAAGGUCACCUUGUUUUUUUUUUUACUACUCGACUAGACGCCGCGUUUCUGAAAGUUGUACGCGUCGUUACAAUGACUGCAUGUACUCUACGCUUCACUUUGCUGAUUGCUUGUAGCCAUCGCAUUUUUUUUUGCUUGCUGAGGAGUCUAUGAGCCAUUGCUGAUGAUGAUAGUUUUUGUACCGUUGGACCGGACGACGUGUCUUUCUUUUUCAGGGCCAUCGUUAGUAUGAGCCACUUAAAAGGACAGACAACAGCGCAGUACAUCAAUCGAGAUUACCCCGCUGACGCAAUGAUUCUCUAUUGUAGUGGCUACAACCAUGCAUGUUUUUCUCAUUAAACGUGGAUCUAUAUAUUUA
Long non-coding RNA from Dermacentor andersoni, 1341 nucleotides. RefSeq lists it as uncharacterized. The record is from RefSeq and is a predicted model, not a curated record. NCBI's taxonomy places the organism in Eukaryota, Metazoa, Arthropoda, Arachnida, Ixodida, Ixodidae.